UCCCCAGGUAGGAAAGACUGGCCCCAUAACAUAUAAAGAUGUAUUUGUAUGCCCGUACAAAGUUUCACGUUUUCCACCUGGUCCAUCCCCAAAGACAGGCCCAUGCUAAGAGACCUGCUGCAGACAUCUACUCCAGAAAACCGCAUCAGGGAGCGGAUAGCAGUAGGGACAAAAUGGCUGCUCGUGCCCGGCGUUCUGUGUCAGUCGAGCCUGAUAUCUGGCACUCCCUGACUAAGGACGUGGUGGAGGAGAGCACUCCCUGACUAAGGACGUGGUGGAGGAGAGCACUCCCUGACUAAGGAUGUGGUGGAGGAGAGCACUCCCUGACUAAGGACGUGGUGGAGGAGAGCACUCCCUGACUAAGGACGUGGUGGAGGAGAGCACUCCCUGACUAAGGACGUGGUGGAGGAGAGCACUCCCUGACUAAGGACGUGGUGGAGGAGAGCACUCCCUGACUAAGGACGUGGUGGAGGAGAGCACUCCCUGACUAAGGACGUGGUGGAGGAGAGCACUCCCUGACUAAGGACGUGGUGGAGGAGAGCACUCCCUGACUAAGGACGUGGUGGAGGAGAGCACUCCCUGACUAAGGACGUGGUGGAGGAGAGCACUCCCUGACUAAGGACGUGGUGGAGGAGAGCAUUCCCUGCAGGACACAGGAAAGGAUGAGGCCGUCCACAGCCAGGCAACACAGGCAUGAAUACUCCAGAUAUGACCCUUGAACACAAUCAGUUUGGGAGUAGGAAAGUGUCAAGUCAUGUCAAGGUGACUGUGGUGCUGGCUUACUGUGAUGAUGAUGAUUAAGAUGGUGAUGAUGAUAAUGAUGGAGAUGAUGGUAAUGAUGGAGAUGAUGAUGGUGAUGAGGAUGAUGGAGGUGAUGAUGAUAGUGCCUCAGGCAGUGUGGGGAUCACAGAUGUCCAGCUGCAGGGUCUGUUAAUGAGGCUGGGAAACUCCUCCCAGAGAGAGCAGGACAUCGGGGGGGUUCCAUCUCCAGCAGAACGUAGCAGGACGUCCCAUCGCAGAGUUCCUCUUCCCUCCCAGAACACUCCUCCAGCCAGCUAGUUCUGUUACAGUAGGCCUGUGAUGAAAACACAGACAUCAUUCUAGGAGGUGGCUUAUGCUUUGACAGAGGGUUUGUGAAGUCGACUCAGUUUUGAACUGUGCUGUAAGGUUUGGUCUGAAGCCUCUGGAAGGAAGACACCGAGCCCAGGGAGGUUGGGUUGGGUUGGAGCGCAUCAUGUUGGGACCAGAGUGCGCCACAGUCCAAUGCAAAGACAAUGGCCAAGUGACAACACUGAGGGGUGAAGGAUGAUUGAGAGACUGAAAGUAUAUAAUUGAUCCAGGACUACAUUAUUUGCACUUUAUCACAUAAUUAAUGGAAACAAUACAUUUCCUACAAGUCUCUCUAUAUGUUAGUACUUGUAUGUUAGCAUUGAAUGUGCUGUAUACAUAACAUAUGAUGAUCUGCAUACUCUGGGCCAUAGCAUGGUACACACCUGCACGCUGUACUAGGGUAAAGCCACACCAGGCCUGGGCUGAACAUCAUGAAAAAGUAGAGAGCUGCAGAGAGGACACUUUGUCCUGUGAAGAGGCAAGCAUCCCUUCUACAGAGAUCAACUGCCCUGACAAAACACCCUUUCUUCUGAUUAAAAGGAAGAAGCAUGUGUGUAGGGUGUGCCACAGUCCAUGGACCCAGAAUCCUUCAUCCUUCCUGCUCCCCCUGUGCUCUGCUAGACUUCCGGGUCUAGCCCCAGAGCAACUCUGCAAGGCCACACACCGGUACAGACCUCCAUAGUUAAAGUCAGAACUCUACUCCGUCAUUGAAUGUAAUUCAUUUUUUCUUCCUGAUUCCUUAAUUGAAUUUAGAAUGUGUGACACAUUGAACUUGAGAGAUAAGUGUAUCAUAGUAUGGUUCUCAAAGUCAAACUAUGUGUGUACCAUCACAUCCAGCCGGUGUCCAGGUCAUAAGACCUGCCAUCCUACGUUCCCAGCAGACUGGAGCAGGAGGAGGGCCUGUUCAACUAGCAGGCGUAUGUAGAUAUUACACAUGCUCAUUUUUUUUGUAACUGGUAAUUUUGUGGAUAGAGAAACUAUAUGAUUCAGUAGGGGACAAUUCAAAGUCGGUGUCAGUAACAUCCCACUGGGCACAGAUAUAAAUUCAAUGUUUAUUUAACUGAAAUGAAGUGUAAACAAUGUUUAUUUAACCAGUGUGUGCCGAGUGGGAUGACCAUUACCCAGAGUACAGUAAACAUAUGGUUUCUGUGUGUGUUGAGUGUCAGCCCUCUGUAGGAGGAAUGAUGUUCCUUGGCCCUCAGCUCCCCCCCUGCACCUCCCCCCUCCAGCAGUACCGCAUUGCAGCUACACUCCACACCACAACAGGGUUAUCACUGCUUCGAUGCAUAAAAGUCAAGAGGUAGCUACUGCUGCACAGGCACAUGACUGUCCAGGGACUACGGACAUGAGACUGAAACCACCUUGGGCAAGCAGCAGAAACAGAGCCCCACUCUAAUCUUCAUCUGUCCUCCUACAGUUUCAUUAGAUCUAUUUUACAGAAGAUCCACUGUACUGUCAGCUUUGGCAUCUAUUGGUUGCCUGUUUAAAUACAUUGUACAUGGUUAAAUGGUCACAAAUGUCAACAUUACUCAAUUGGAUAAAAUAAAAAAAUAUAUGUUUUGUUUUAAAUAGGCAGGUUGCAAGUUGGGAUGUAUUUUAUUUUCCUCCAGGUCAGAGGUGUAAGAAAUUAAAAUGUAUUAUUCUCAGUAAAAAUUCUUACUAAAUCCUGUCCUUUAUCGAAAAGCAUUCCAUGUCAUUUAAAAAGAGAGUCAAUUGACAAGAUCAAGGUGCUUCUACAUCUGCAUUGCUUGCCGUUUGGGAUUUUAGGCUGGGUUUCUGUACAGGACUUUGUGACAUCUGCUGAUGUAAAAAGGGGUUUAUAAAUACAUUUGAUUCAUUGACUGAACCAAACCAAGACAAAAACACAGAGGAUGGAACAGGGUCAAGGGGAAGCACCACAACAGUGUAAGUGGAUCUAGAGCUGUUCCCCACCACGUCAAUCAUCCAAAUUCCAUCUCCUGUUUAUUCUCACGUAACAAAACAACAACUCCCCAAUACUAACUCUAACCCCCCCCCCCGGAACUUCGUUUUGUUCUUU
Long non-coding RNA from Oncorhynchus keta (chum salmon), 3148 nucleotides. RefSeq lists it as uncharacterized. The transcript is spliced from 3 exons. Lineage: Eukaryota; Metazoa; Chordata; Actinopteri; Salmoniformes; Salmonidae. The record is from RefSeq and is a predicted model, not a curated record.